GGGCGUUUAGCUCAGUGGUAGAGCGUUCGCCUUACACGCGAAUGGUCGGGGGUUCGAGCCCCUCAACGCCCA
This 72-nucleotide transfer RNA is filed under the name Planctomycetales bacterium. RNAcentral's name for it is "tRNA-Val". It matches the Rfam family "tRNA". From Rfam's summary of the family: Transfer RNA (tRNA) molecules are approximately 80 nucleotides in length. The record is from RNAcentral. Lineage: Bacteria; Pseudomonadati; Planctomycetota; Planctomycetia; Planctomycetales.